This 482-nucleotide ribosomal RNA is filed under the name uncultured bacterium. Its description in RNAcentral is "partial 16S ribosomal RNA". It matches the Rfam family "Bacterial small subunit ribosomal RNA", at positions 30 to 507 of the family's 1533-position model. The record is from RNAcentral.
AUUGAACGCUGGCGGCAGGCCUAACACAUGCAAGUCGAGCGGAUGAAGGGAGCUUGCUCCUGGAUUCAGCGGCGGACGGGUGAGUAAUGCCUAGGAAUCUGCCUGGUAGUGGGGGAUAACGUCCGGAAACGGGCGCUAAUACCGCAUACGUCCUGAGGGAGAAAGUGGGGGAUCUUCGGACCUCACGCUAUCAGAUGAGCCUGUCGGAUUAGCUAGUUGGUGGGGUAAAGGCCUACCAAGGCGACGAUCCGUAACUGGUCUGAGAGGAUGAUCAGUCACACUGGAACUGAGACACGGUCCAGACUCCUACGGGAGGCAGCAGUGGGGAAUAUUGGACAAUGGGCGAAAGCCUGAUCCAGCCAUGCCGCGUGUGUGAAGAAGGUCUUCGGAUUGUAAAGCACUUUAAGUUGGGAGGAAGGGCAGUAAGUUAAUACCUUGCUGUUUUGACGUUACCAACAGAAUAAGCACCGGCUAACUUCGUG